UACGUAGGGUGCAAGCGUUAAUCGGAAUUACUGGGCGUAAAGGGCGCGUAGGUGGUUAUGUAAGUGAGAUGUGAAAUCCCCGGGCUUAACCUGGGAACUGCAUCUUAUACUGCGUAACUGGAGUAUGAUAGAGGGUAGUGGAAUUUCCGGUGUAGCGGUGAAAUGCGUAGAUAUCGGAAGGAACACCAGUGGCGAAGGCGGCUACCUGGAUUAAUACUGACACUGAGGCGCGAAAGCGUGGGGAGCAAACAGG
Molecule: ribosomal RNA, 253 nt
Filed under: uncultured bacterium
Lineage: Bacteria
Description: partial 16S ribosomal RNA
Rfam family: Bacterial small subunit ribosomal RNA
Source: RNAcentral